AGCACCCCCAGGGCCAUGGGGUGGCAGGGGCAGCCAGAGCCUCUGGGACUGAGCCACGAGAGAGAUGGGGUGCAGAAACACCAGGGCAUGUGGAGGGGCAGCCAGAGCAUGCAGGAUCAUGCAGAGGCCAUGCUGGGGACACUGGUGCAGCUCUCCACAGGAAUACAGCCAUGGAAAGACACUGCCUCCUCUACCACCACAGCCACAGGAGGACAUCACAGCCCCCAGACCCUCCCCAUCAACACUCUGCACUCCUCUCUCUCUUCCCAGCCCAAGUCCAAAGCAAAGAAAGAAAGGAGAUAAAGAAGGGAAGAAAGAAAUAAAAAACUAAAACAAAUGAAAACUAAAACAAAAAGCAGCAGUUGGGAGGCAGCCUUGUUAGGACAACUCAGCAAAAUAAAAUUCCGGUUUAUUGUUGGACAACAUUGUUUCACACAUACAUCAAACAGGCCAAAAAAAAAAGAAAAAAUAAAAAUAAA
Serinus canaria (Common canary) is the source of this 479-nucleotide long non-coding RNA. RefSeq lists it as uncharacterized. Lineage: Eukaryota; Metazoa; Chordata; Aves; Passeriformes; Fringillidae. The record is from RefSeq and is a predicted model, not a curated record. The transcript has 2 exons.